ACUCCUGCGGGAGGCAGCAGUGGGGAAUAUUGGACAAUGGGCGCAAGCCUGAUCCAGCCAUGCCGCGUGAGUGAUGAAGGCCCUAGGGUUGUAAAGCUCUUUCACCGGUGAAGAUAAUGACGGUAACCGGAGAAGAAGCCCCGGCUAACUUCGUGCCAGCAGCCGCGGUAAUACGAAGGGGGCUAGCGUUGUUCGGAUUUACUGGGCGUAAAGCGCACGUAGGCGGACUAUUAAGUCAGGGGUGAAAUCCCGGGGCUCAACCCCGGAACUGCCUUUGAUACUGGUAGUCUUGAGUUCGAGAGAGGUGAGUGGAAUUCCGAGUGUAGAGGUGAAAUUCGUAGAUAUUCGGAGGAACACCAGUGGCGAAGGCGGCUCACUGGCUCGAUACUGACGCUGAGGUGCGAAAGCGUGGGGAGCAAACAGGAUUAGAUACCCCUGUAGUCCC
RNAcentral lists this ribosomal RNA (445 nucleotides) under uncultured organism. Its description in RNAcentral is "partial 16S ribosomal RNA". It matches the Rfam family "Bacterial small subunit ribosomal RNA", at positions 335 to 797 of the family's 1533-position model. The record is from RNAcentral.